Molecule: ribosomal RNA, 236 nt
Filed under: uncultured Staphylococcus sp.
Lineage: Bacteria; Bacillati; Bacillota; Bacilli; Caryophanales; Staphylococcaceae
Description: partial 16S ribosomal RNA
Rfam family: Bacterial small subunit ribosomal RNA
Source: RNAcentral
CGGGUGAGUAACACGUGGAUAACCUACCUAUAAGACUGGAUAACUUCGGGAAACCGGAGCUAAUACCGGAUAAUAUAUUGAACCGCAUGGUUCAAUAGUGAAAGACGGUUUUGCUGUCACUUAUAGAUGGAUCCGCGCCGCAUUAGCUAGUUGGUAAGGUAACAGCUUACCAAGGCAACGAUGCGUAGCCGACCUGAGAGGGUGAUCGGCCACACUGGAACUGAGACACGGUCCAG